Long non-coding RNA from Melozone crissalis (California towhee), 209 nucleotides. RefSeq lists it as uncharacterized. The record is from RefSeq and is a predicted model, not a curated record. The transcript is spliced from 4 exons. NCBI's taxonomy places the organism in Eukaryota, Metazoa, Chordata, Aves, Passeriformes, Passerellidae.
CAUGAUGGCGGAGGCGCUGGAGCGGUGGCUCCGGGAGGAGAUGGAGCUGCCGCCCUCCGCCAUCCCCUCCCCGGCCGCGCUCCGCAGGCUCUGCUCCGGCCCCGCAGCCCCCAUUUGGGAUUACGUCAUCCGCCACGUCCGGAACCAGCGGAACGUGAAGAAGAUCCGAGGAAAUCUGCGCUUGUACGGGCACCUGCAGGAGCUGGAGG